AUGGGCCAGUGCAAAUCCUACUUGGAUAACUGUGGUAAUUCCAGAGCUAAUACAUGCAACUGAUAUCCCGAAGGCGGUGUUGGGGCUUGCUUGUCUUGCCCUGCGCUGCUCUGACGGAUGCUUUUAUUAGACCAAGCCGCUGAGGACUUGAGGGUUCGCGCUCUCUUGUUUGACUCGUGUGAUGGUGACUCUGGAUAACCAAAUUCUGACAAGCGCACGUACUUCUCUUCUGAGCGAGACGGCGCUGCCACUUUCGAGUGUCUGCCUUAUCAGCUAUCAACCGUUCGUUAUGCGCGACCGAUGGCUUUGACGGGUAACGGGGAAUCAGGGUUCGAUUCCGGAGAGGCAGCCUGAGAGACGGCUACCACGUCCAAGGACGGCAGCAGGCACGCAAAUUACCCAAUCCCAGCAAAUGGGGGAGGUAGUGACGAAAUCUAACGAUGCGGGCGCCCUUUCUGGGGCCCCGCAAUCG
This 472-nucleotide ribosomal RNA is filed under the name Eulimnogammarus verrucosus. RNAcentral's name for it is "SSU rRNA". It matches the Rfam family "Eukaryotic small subunit ribosomal RNA", at positions 115 to 511 of the family's 1831-position model. Lineage: Eukaryota; Metazoa; Arthropoda; Malacostraca; Amphipoda; Eulimnogammaridae. The record is from RNAcentral.